GACGAACGCUGGCGGCGUGCUUAACACAUGCAAGUCGAACGGAAAGGCCCUGCUUUUGUUGGGUUCUCGAGUGGCGAACGUGUUAGUAACACGUUAGUAACCUGCCCUUGACUUUGUGAUAACUUCAGGAAACUGGUGCUAAUACCGGAUAUGAGCUCCUGCUGCAUGGUGGGGGUUGGAUAUUUUUGGCGUUUGGGGAUGGACUCGCGGCUUAUCAGCUUGUUGGUGGGGUAGUUGCUUACCAAGGCUUUGACGGGUAGCCGGCCUGAGAGGGUGACCGGCAACAUGGGGACUGAGAUACGGCCCAGAAUCCUACGGGAGGCAGCAGUGGGGAAUAUUGCACAAUGGGCGGAAGCCUGAUGCAGCAACGCCGCGUGCGGGAUGACGGCCUUCGGGUUGUAAACCGCUUUCGCCUGUGACGAAGCGUGAGUGACGGUAAUGGGUAAAGAAGCACCGGCUAACUACGUG
This 468-nucleotide ribosomal RNA is filed under the name uncultured bacterium. RNAcentral's name for it is "partial 16S ribosomal RNA". It matches the Rfam family "Bacterial small subunit ribosomal RNA", at positions 28 to 507 of the family's 1533-position model. The record is from RNAcentral.